UUGACCUCGGAUCAGGUAGGGAUACCCGCUGAACUUAAGCAUAUCAAUAAGCGGAGGAAAAGAAACCAACAGGGAUUGCUCUAGUAACGGCGAGUGAAGCAGCAAUAGCUCAAAUUUGAAAUCUGGCGUCUUCGGCGUCCGAGUUGUAAUUUGUAGAGGAUGCUUCUGGGCAGCCACCGACCUAAGUUCCUUGGAACAGGACGUCAUAGAGGGUGAGAAUCCCGUAUGCGGUCGGAAAGGCACCCUACACGUAGCUCCUUCGACGAGUCGAGUUGUUUGGGAAUGCAGCUCUAAAUGGGAGGUAAAUUUCUUCUAAAGCUAAAUAUUGGCCAGAGACCGAUAGCGCACAAGUAGAGUGAUCGAAAGAUGAAAAGCACUUUGGAAAGAGAGUUAAAAAGCACGUGAAAUUGUUGAAAGGGAAGGGAUUGCAACCAGACUUGCUCGCGGUGUUCCGCCGGUCUUCUGACCGGUCUACUCGCCGCGUUGCAGGCCAGCAUCGUCUGGUGCCGCUGGAUAAGACUUGAGGAAUGUAGCUCCCUCGGGAGUGUUAUAGCCUCUUGUGAUGCAGCGAGCGCCGGGCGAGGUCCGCGCUUCGGCUAGGAUGCUGGCGUA
Molecule: ribosomal RNA, 612 nt
Filed under: Cladosporium sphaerospermum
Lineage: Eukaryota; Fungi; Ascomycota; Dothideomycetes; Cladosporiales; Cladosporiaceae
Description: eukaryotic LSU rRNA
Rfam family: Eukaryotic large subunit ribosomal RNA
Source: RNAcentral